CCUACGGGAGGCAGCAGUGAGGAAUAUUGGUCAAUGGGCGCGAGCCUGAACCAGCCAAGCCGCGUGAAGGAUGACGGCUCUAUGAGUUGUAAACUGCUUUUGUACGGGAGUAAAGUCAGAUACGUGUACCGUGUUGAAUGUACUGUACGAAUAAGGAUCGGCUAACUCCGUGCCAGCAGCCGCGGUAAUACGGAGGAUCCGAGCGUUAUCCGGAUUUAUUGGGUUUAACGGGUGCGUAGGCGGGUUGUUAAGUCAGAUGUGAAAUUUUGGGGCUCAACCCGGAAAUUGCAUUUGAUACUGGCAGCCUUGAGUACAGUUGAGGUAGGCGAAAUGCGUGGUGUAGCGGUGAAAUGCUUAGAUAUCACGAAGAACUCCGAUUGUGAAGGCAGCCUACUGGACUGCAACUGACAUUGAGGCUCGAAAGUGUGGGUAUCAAACAGGAUUAGAUACCCUUGUAGUC
RNAcentral lists this ribosomal RNA (460 nucleotides) under uncultured bacterium. RNAcentral's name for it is "partial 16S ribosomal RNA". It matches the Rfam family "Bacterial small subunit ribosomal RNA", at positions 338 to 795 of the family's 1533-position model. The record is from RNAcentral.